GCAUUGGUGGCUCAGUGGCUGAAUUGUUACUUUCCAUGCAGGAGACCCGGGUUUGAUUCCUGGCCAAUGCA
Molecule: transfer RNA, 71 nt
Filed under: Loxodonta africana (African savanna elephant)
Lineage: Eukaryota; Metazoa; Chordata; Mammalia; Proboscidea; Elephantidae
Rfam family: tRNA
About the family: Transfer RNA (tRNA) molecules are approximately 80 nucleotides in length. Their secondary structure includes four short double-helical elements and three loops (D, anti-codon, and T loops).
Source: Rfam by way of RNAcentral